This 584-nucleotide ribosomal RNA is filed under the name uncultured bacterium. RNAcentral describes it as "bacterial SSU rRNA". It matches the Rfam family "Bacterial small subunit ribosomal RNA", at positions 338 to 913 of the family's 1533-position model. The record is from RNAcentral.
CCUACGGGAGGCAGCAGUGGGGAAUUUUGGACAAUGGGCGAAAGCCUGAUCCAGCAAUGCCGCGUGAGUGAAGAAGGCCUUCGGGUUGUAAAGCUCUUUUGUCAGGGAAGAAACGGUGGGAGCUAAUAUCUCUUGCUAAUGACGGUACCUGAAGAAUAAGCACCGGCUAACUACGUGCCAGCAGCCGCGGUAAUACGUAGGGUGCAAGCGUUAAUCGGAAUUACUGGGCGUAAAGCGUGCGCAGGCGGUUUUGUAAGUCUGAUGUGAAAUCCCCGGGCUCAACCUGGGAAUUGCAUUGGAGACUGCAAGGCUAGAAUCUGGCAGAGGGGGGUAGAAUUCCACGUGUAGCAGUGAAAUGCGUAGAUAUGUGGAGGAACACCGAUGGCGAAGGCAGCCCCCUGGGUCAAGAUUGACGCCCAUGCACGAAAGCGUGGGGAGCAAACAGGAUUAGAUACCCUGGUAGUCCACGCCCUAAACGAUGUCUACUAGUUGUCGGGUCUUAAUUGACUUGGUAACGCAGCUAACGCGUGAAGUAGACCGCCUGGGGAGUACGGUCGCAAGAUUAAAACCUCAAAUGAAAUUGA